This 72-nucleotide transfer RNA is filed under the name Ornithorhynchus anatinus (platypus). It matches the Rfam family "tRNA". Rfam says of the family: Transfer RNA (tRNA) molecules are approximately 80 nucleotides in length. Their secondary structure includes four short double-helical elements and three loops (D, anti-codon, and T loops). The record is from Rfam by way of RNAcentral. Lineage: Eukaryota; Metazoa; Chordata; Mammalia; Monotremata; Ornithorhynchidae.
AGCAGCGUGGCUUAGUGGCAAGAGCACGGGCUUGGGAGCCAGAGGUCUUAGGUUCUAAUCCCAGCUCUGCCA